This 173-nucleotide ribosomal RNA is filed under the name uncultured bacterium. Its description in RNAcentral is "partial 16S ribosomal RNA". It matches the Rfam family "Bacterial small subunit ribosomal RNA", at positions 355 to 525 of the family's 1533-position model. The record is from RNAcentral.
UGAGGAAUAUUGGUCAAUGGACGCAAGUCUGAACCAGCCAUGCCGCGUGCAGGAUGACGGCCCUACGGGUUGUAAACUGCUUUUAUACGGGAAUAAUGUGUCCUACGUGUAGGAUUUUGAAGGUACCGUACGAAUAAGGAUCGGCUAACUCCGUGCCAGCAGCCGCGGUAAUA